UGGGGAAUUGUUCGCAAUGGGCGCAAGCCUGACGACGCAACGCCGCGUGGAGGAUGAAGACCUUCGGGUCGUAAACUCCUUUCGAUCGAGACGAAUGGCCUCCGGGUGAAUAAUCCGGAGGAGUGACGGUACCGAGAGAAGAAGCCCCGGCUAACUCCGUGCCAGCAGCCGCGGUAAUACGGGGGGGGCAAGCGUUGUUCGGAAUUACUGGGCGUAAAGGGCUCGUAGGUGGCCAACUAAGUCAGACGUGAAAUCCCUCGGCUUAACCGGGGAACUGCAUCUGAUACUGGAUGGCUUGAGUUUGGGAGAGGGACGCGGAAUUCCAGGUGUAGCGGUGAAAUGCGUAGAUAUCUGGAGGAACACCGGUGGCGAAGGCGGCGUCCUGGAACAAUACUGACACUGAUGAGCGAAAGCCAGGGGAGCAAACGGG
Molecule: ribosomal RNA, 430 nt
Filed under: bacterium
Lineage: Bacteria
Description: partial 16S ribosomal RNA
Rfam family: Bacterial small subunit ribosomal RNA
Source: RNAcentral